Molecule: ribosomal RNA, 465 nt
Filed under: uncultured Nitrosomonas sp.
Lineage: Bacteria; Pseudomonadati; Pseudomonadota; Betaproteobacteria; Nitrosomonadales; Nitrosomonadaceae
Description: bacterial SSU rRNA
Rfam family: Bacterial small subunit ribosomal RNA
Source: RNAcentral
GGAGAAAAGCAGGGGAUCGAAAGACCUUGCGCUUUUGGAGCGGCCGAUGUCUGAUUAGCUAGUUGGUGGGGUAAUGGCCUACCAAGGCAACGAUCAGUAGUUGGUCUGAGAGGAUGGCCAACCACACUGGGACUGAGACACGGCCCAGACUCCUACGGGAGGCAGCAGUGGGGAAUUUUGGACAAUGGGGGAAACCCUGAUCCAGCAAUGCCGCGUGAGUGAAGAAGGCCUUCGGGUUGUAAAGCUCUUUCAGUUGAGAAGAAAAGGUUGUGACUAAUAAUCAUAAUUUAUGACGGUAUCAACAGAAGAAGCACCGGCUAACUACGUGCCAGCAGCCGCGGUAAUACGUAGGGUGCAAGCGUUAAUCGGAAUUACUGGGCGUAAAGGGUGCGCAGGCGGUUAUGUAAGUCAGAUGUGAAAUCCCCGGGCUUAACCUGGGAAUGGCGUUUGAAACUACAAAGCUAG